AAAGUAGAGGUUGCGUUGCCGAUGAGUAGUCAUUUUGACAUUGUAAAGAGUGGAUGAUAAAUGACAAAAGGCGGAGACGCCGAAGGCACGGAUGCUUUACCUGAAGUGGCCUGGGGGUAUGUGGAAUACGCAUACAACUGUCAUCAGUAGAUGGGGAGCUACG
RNAcentral lists this non-coding RNA (163 nucleotides) under human oral metagenome. Its description in RNAcentral is "Lysine riboswitch". It matches the Rfam family "Lysine riboswitch aptamer". Rfam says of the family: Riboswitches are metabolite binding domains within certain messenger RNAs that serve as precision sensors for their corresponding targets. Allosteric rearrangement of mRNA structure is mediated by ligand binding, and this results in modulation of gene expression. This family includes riboswitches that sense lysine in a number of genes involved in lysine metabolism, including lysC. The record is from RNAcentral.